RNAcentral lists this ribosomal RNA (423 nucleotides) under uncultured bacterium. RNAcentral describes it as "bacterial SSU rRNA". It matches the Rfam family "Bacterial small subunit ribosomal RNA", at positions 354 to 774 of the family's 1533-position model. The record is from RNAcentral.
GUGAGGAAUAUUGGGCAAUGCCCGAAAGGGUGACCCAGCAACGCCGCGUGGAGGAUGAAGGUCGUAAGAUUGUAAACUCCUGUUAGAGGGGAAGAAUAACUAAGUUUGGAGCUUAGUAUGACUGUGCCCUCAGAGAAAGCCCCGGCUAACUACGUGCCAGCAGCCGCGGUAAUACGUAGGGGGCAAGCGUUGUCCGGAUUUACUGGGUGUAAAGGGCGCGCAGGCGGAAUGGAAAGUCAGUGGUGAAAUCCUACAGCUUAACUGUAGAACUGCCUUGGAUACUUUCAUUCUUGAGUUCGGGAGAGAGAGACGGAAUUCCAGGUGUAGUGGUGAAAUACGUAGAUAUCUGGAAGAACACCAGUUGCGAAGGCGGUCUCUUGGUCCGAUACUGACGCUGAGGCGCGAAAGCGUGGGGAGCAAACA